AGUGUUGGCGGUUGCGUAACGCAUAAAUAGGUACGUCGCUUUUUGUUAUUAUUAUUAUUUUUUUUUGGCAUUCGGACGACUUUUCGACUCUGGGUCUCUUGCCGAAAAGUCUAUAGUGUCGCUUAGCUAUAUAUAUAUGUAAUAACGACCGCGCCCGAAAGCCAAACAAAAAUCAGACGAGAUUCCUCUAUAAAUACGCGUGGGUACACCUACCCUAGCCGUUAUUGUAUAAUAUUUGAACGGCUCUCGACUGCCUAUGAUAUUAUCGCGAUAACAAACAAUAUACUUGUUAAGGCUAUCGGACCGGAAAAAAAAAAAAAAAUAA
Molecule: non-coding RNA, 325 nt
Organism: Cinara cedri
Lineage: Eukaryota; Metazoa; Arthropoda; Insecta; Hemiptera; Aphididae
Source: the annotation of a GenBank genome assembly